Molecule: ribosomal RNA, 433 nt
Filed under: uncultured bacterium
Lineage: Bacteria
Description: partial 16S ribosomal RNA
Rfam family: Bacterial small subunit ribosomal RNA
Source: RNAcentral
AACGAACGCUGGCGGCAUGCCUAACACAUGCAAGUCGAACGAGACCUUCGGGUCUAGUGGCGAACGGGUGCGUAACGCGUGGGAACCUGCCCUUAGGUUCGGAAUAACUCCCCGAAAGGGGUGCUAAUACCGGAUAAUGUCUCCGGACCAAAGAUUUAUCGCCUUUGGAGGGGCCCGCGUUGGAUUAGCUAGUUGGUAGGGUAAAAGCCUACCACGGCGACGAUCCAUAGCUGGUCUGUGAGGAUGAUCAGCCACACUGGGACUGGGACACGGCCCAGACUCCUACCGGAGGCAGCAGUGGUGGAUAUUGGACAAUGGGCGAAAGCCUGAUCCACCACUUCCGCGUGAGUGAUGAAGGCCUUAUGGUUGUAAAGCUCUUUUACCCGGGAUGAUAAUGACAGUACCGGGAGAAUAAGCUCCGGCUAACUCCGUG